GACGAACGCUGGCGGCGUGCUUAACACAUGCAAGUCGAACGGUGAAGCUCCAGCUUGCUGGAGUGGAUCAGUGGCGAACGGGUGAGUAACACGUGAGCAACCUGCCCCUGACUCUGGAAUAAGCGCUGGAAACGGCGUCUAAUACUGGAUACGAGAAGGGUCCGCAUGGGCACUUUCUGGAAAGUUUUUCGGUUGGGGAUGGGCUCGCGGCCUAUCAGCUUGUUGGUGAGGUAAUGGCUCACCAAGGCGACGACGGGUAGCCGGCCUGAGAGGGCGACCGGCCACACUGGGACUGAGACACGGCCCAGACUCCUACGGGAGACAGCAGUGGGGAAUAUUGCACAAUGGGCGAAAGCCUGAUGCAGCGACGCCGCGUGAGGGAUGACGGCCUUCGGGUUGUAAACCUCUUUCAGCAGGGAAGAAGCGAAAGUGACGGUACCUGCAGAAGAAGCACCGGCUAACUACGUG
This 468-nucleotide ribosomal RNA is filed under the name uncultured bacterium. RNAcentral describes it as "partial 16S ribosomal RNA". It matches the Rfam family "Bacterial small subunit ribosomal RNA", at positions 28 to 507 of the family's 1533-position model. The record is from RNAcentral.